AAUGCACAUUGCAAGAAACGGGGAGGAGGUGAGGAGCCUCCAAUUGCCUGGGUCCAGUUCGACGAUCGACCAGUGGUCCUGUCUUCUCCAUGUCCUUCCCCAAAGUUUUCUACUGAACAGAUGACGGCUCUGCAAAUGAGGGAGCUGGUCCUGUGCAAUUAGUCUGGCAGGACCUCAACAGAAAAACCCUAGAGGUGGAUCACCAGAUUGCAGGGGUGUUACAGAGAGUUCAAGCCACUCACCAAAACAGAGUCGUGUCUGUUCCCAUCACAGGAACAGCAGGGGAGAGAUACAGAAGGAUUCUGCAGAGAACCCACGAAAGCUCCCCAUUAAAGACAAGUUCUGCUUUAAACGCUGACCGGGUCCAGAGAGUACAGAAGAGCUUACAACACUGUUACUCAGGCACUACUCUAGAAGCUGGAACCAAUGAAUGAAACAAGAAACUUCUCUCAAAGAGCUUACAGUCUAGAACAGAGACAAGCCAGAGGAAUAAAGUGGAAAAGAUUAUGGUGGUACAUUUGGACACUAUGGGAGACUAUCUUUGUCAUAUUUUUGGGAAGUCUGGAAUUAUCCCAAGGGUUCAUACCCUGAAAGGAGAAGCAGCUGCCAUUUCCUUUAUAUUUGUGUGUGUAAUUGAUAAGGAAGGCCAUGGAGGGAAUCUGAAGCCAGUCUUCAAUAUCUGCUCACCCAGGCAGGGGGAAACCAUCAGACAGGUAUGGCCCACUGAGCAGUGUCCCUUUAGAUC
Molecule: long non-coding RNA, 745 nt
Organism: Hipposideros armiger (great roundleaf bat)
Lineage: Eukaryota; Metazoa; Chordata; Mammalia; Chiroptera; Hipposideridae
Exons: 4
Source: RefSeq, a predicted model, not a curated record